UAGGGAAUCUUCCGCAAUGGGCGAAAGCCUGACGGAGCAACGCCGCGUGAGUGAUGAAGGUCUUCGGAUCGUAAAACUCUGUUAUUAGGGAAGAACAAAUGUGUAAGUAACUAUGCACGUCUUGACGGUACCUAAUCAGAAAGCCACGGCUAACUACGUGCCAGCAGCCGCGGUAAUACGUAGGUGGCAAGCGUUAUCCGGAAUUAUUGGGCGUAAAGCGCGCGUAGGCGGUUUUUUAAGUCUGAUGUGAAAGCCCACGGCUCAACCGUGUAGGGUCAUUGGAAACUGGAAAACUUGAGUGCAGAAGAGGAAAGUGGAAUUCCAUGUGUAGCAGUGAAAUGCGCAGCGAUAUGGAGGAACACCAGUGGCGAAGGCGACUUUCUGGUCUGUAACUGACGCUGAUGUGCGAAAGCGUGGGGAUCAAACAGG
RNAcentral lists this ribosomal RNA (429 nucleotides) under Actinomycetes bacterium. RNAcentral's name for it is "Actinobacteria bacterium partial 16S ribosomal RNA". It matches the Rfam family "Bacterial small subunit ribosomal RNA", at positions 355 to 776 of the family's 1533-position model. The record is from RNAcentral. Lineage: Bacteria; Bacillati; Actinomycetota; Actinomycetes.